This is a non-coding RNA of Paramuricea clavata, 206 nucleotides long. The record is from the annotation of a GenBank genome assembly. NCBI's taxonomy places the organism in Eukaryota, Metazoa, Cnidaria, Anthozoa, Malacalcyonacea, Plexauridae.
UACCUGGUGGUACUGGUGCGCAAGUUCCAUUCUUCUCAAUAAAGUAUUUUUCACAUGUACAAUUACGUCCUCCUGUUGCUGCGACUGGUGUGCACUUUCUAUUGCCUCCACAUGGGUUUGUUAGACAUGGGUCUUUAUCAAAAUAUAAUGUUAGUAAAUCAUUAGCAUAUGCAUUUUCCGUUUGGUUCAUGACUGAUCGUGUAUAU